AACGCACAUUGCGCCCGCCAGUAUUCUGGCGGGCAUGCCUGUUCGAGCGUCAUUUCAACCCUCAAGCACUGCUUGGUGUUGGGGCCCUACGCGCGCCGUAGGCCCUCAAAGGAAGUGGCGGGCUCGCUGGAAGCCUAAGCGCAGUAACUAACCUCGCUUCUGGUGGCCGGCGCGUCCCUGCCGUAAAACCCCCAAUUUUCUAUGGUUGACCUCGGAUCAGGUAGGAAUACCCGCUGAACUUAA
This 243-nucleotide unclassified non-coding RNA is filed under the name uncultured fungus. RNAcentral's name for it is "sequence contains ITS2". The stretch from base 1 to 52 matches the Rfam family "5.8S ribosomal RNA", at positions 103 to 154 of the family's 154-position model. The record is from RNAcentral. Lineage: Eukaryota; Fungi.